Molecule: transfer RNA, 48 nt
Filed under: Candidatus Sumerlaeota bacterium
Lineage: Bacteria; Candidatus Sumerlaeota
Description: tRNA-Phe
Rfam family: tRNA
About the family: Transfer RNA (tRNA) molecules are approximately 80 nucleotides in length. Their secondary structure includes four short double-helical elements and three loops (D, anti-codon, and T loops).
Source: RNAcentral
GCCCAGGUAGCUCAGUCGGUAGAGCAGAGGACUGAAAAUCCUCGUGUC